RNAcentral lists this transfer RNA (68 nucleotides) under Candidatus Micrarchaeota archaeon CG1_02_49_24. RNAcentral describes it as "tRNA-Gly". It matches the Rfam family "tRNA". Rfam says of the family: Transfer RNA (tRNA) molecules are approximately 80 nucleotides in length. Their secondary structure includes four short double-helical elements and three loops (D, anti-codon, and T loops). The record is from RNAcentral. Lineage: Archaea; Nanobdellati; Microcaldota.
CGGCUAUAGUCCAGUGGCAGGAUAUGAGCUUCCCAAGCUUAAGACCGGGGUUCAAAUCCCCGUAGCCG